Molecule: RNA transcript, 1884 nt
Organism: Formica exsecta
Lineage: Eukaryota; Metazoa; Arthropoda; Insecta; Hymenoptera; Formicidae
Gene: Zpr1
Gene name: zinc finger protein ZPR1
Exons: 5
Source: RefSeq, a predicted model, not a curated record
AAAUAUGUCGAUAAUGUCACGUGUGCGACGACUUACGAGACAUAACCUGAAAAUGGCAGCUGAGGAAAGACAGACGAAAAGUGAAAAAGCUAAACCGAUUUUUUGCGAGCUGUCCGCUAACGAUUUAGACCUGGAAAUUACGGAGAUCGAGAGCUUAUGCGUGGAAUGCGGGAAAAAUGGGAUUACCAGGCUACUGUUAACGAAGAUUCCACAUUACAAAGAUGUGGUACUCAUGUCGUUCGAGUGCGAGCACUGUGGCUAUCAAAAUAACGAGAUACAAAGCGGUGGAAAGAUAGCGGAGAAAGGUAUCAAGAUAACAUUGCAAGUCACAACGCAACAGGACCUGAAUCGUCAAGUGGUAAAAUCUGACUAUACCAGCGUUCACAUUCCCCACUUAGACUUUGAGAUUCCUGCGCAAUCACAAAAAGGAGAAAUUACAACGAUAGAAGGAAUAAUUGAUAAGAGCGUUAGAGCUUUGGAGCAGGAUCAGUCGAGACGUCGAGAAGAAUUUCCAGACACCGCAGAUGAAAUAGAUCUAUUUAUUAGCAAAUUACAUGCACUGAAAAUACUUGACGAGCCUUUCACUAUAAUCUUUCAAGAUAUCUCGGGAAACAGUCAUGUAGAGAAUCCAAAAGCACCAAUUAAAGAUAAUCAAUGUAAUAUAACAUACUUUAAAAGAACAAAAAAGCAGAAUUCUUUGCUGGGAAUUUACUCGGACAAUGAAGAUGGUUUGCUCAAGCCCAUACAGGAAGGAGAAUUUACUCUGGAACAAAUGGAAGGUGAAGUGUUGUCCUUCCCUACCAAUUGCCCGGAUUGCAACAGUCUCUGUGAAACAAAUAUGAAACUGACAAAUAUACCACACUUCAAAGAAGUUGUCAUAAUGGCCACACUCUGCGAGUCUUGUGGUCAUAAAACUAACGAGGUGAAGAGCGGCGGUGGAAUCGAACCUCAGGGAGUCAAAAUUGAAGUAAUGGUAACAGGCAAAGAAGAUUUCAAUCGCGAUUUAUUGAAAUCCGAAACUUGCGACAUGGAGAUACCUGAAUUCGAAUUAGAAGUCGGUCCAGCUGCUUUGGGCGGUCGAUUCACGACUGUCGAAGGGAUCAUAACAGCGAUAAAAGAACAGUUAUCUUCAUCUACGGCUUUCACCGGAGACAGCAGUGAUUUGGAAACCGGGAAGAGGAUGGAGACAUUUAUUGCUCAUUUGGGAGAGAUUUUGGACGGUCAAAGGAAAGUGACUCUAGUUUUAGAUGACCCGGCCGGAAAUAGCUAUGUGCAAAGCCUCUCCGAUGAUGGGCCCGACGACAGAUUAAAGAUCACGAAAUACGACAGAAGUUUCGAGCAGAAUGAAGAACUUGGACUCAAUGACAUGAAAGUUGAGAACUAUUAAACUUGUGUUAAAUUAGAAGAACUAAGUAUCAUCAAAGCAUAUCUGAAAAAUAGUCAGAUAACAAAACUAUCCAUUUUAAAUCAUCACAUGCCAUUGUAACAAAGAUUUUAUUGUCCAACUAACUUGCACUAUUUUAGUUUAAUCUUCACCUGCACGGCUGGAAGAGAAAGAAAAGCUUUACAAUAUGUUUAAAAGUGGCAUCGCGUGGCUCUAUAAAAGAUAAAAUCAAGAAACACAUGGCAUACACUAUUGGUAUCGCAUCGAUUUUUUUUAAGGUAGGCAAUCGUUUUACAACUUGCGCACGCCACGAUUCCGCGUCCAUGUUCUCGCAUAUAGGAUUGUUAAUGAAUAACAAAUCUUGAAGAUUGGGUAUUUCUUGCAAACGAUUAAAUUCCGCCCAAUCUUUCACCAGAUUAUUGCCCAUAUACAAGACCUUGAGCGCUUUGAGAGCAUUGACGCCUUUGAUCUUUUCAAUCAAAUUAUAAGAAAUCCAUAAU